Molecule: long non-coding RNA, 1545 nt
Organism: Balaenoptera musculus (blue whale)
Lineage: Eukaryota; Metazoa; Chordata; Mammalia; Artiodactyla; Balaenopteridae
Exons: 4
Source: RefSeq, a predicted model, not a curated record
AGGCCCUGGAGAGACGCCUUUCCGUGCGGGCGAAAUGCUUCUGGACGGGACUUCGAGCAUUUUCUUGGCCGUGGUGCUUUUGGGACCCAUGGCUGCAGAAGUGCUUAUGGACCACGCUCAGGGAUGGGUUUGUUUUCCUGCUCACAGACCGUCUGCCGGCACCACUAUCUGUGGCACGUGGAACGUCUCAUCUACAGGAAUGGAGGUCCUCAGGAACAAUGGAGGAACUGCUCAUGAAUAUACAUGGACAAGUGGAUCUGUGCAGCACCAGCGUAGCCAUGGAAGUGCCCUGCUCGGAUAUUCCUUCAAGAGAUCCUGUUGGGGCUGGAGCACAACUGAUUGACAGCCUCCAGGUGCUGUGCUCUUAGAUCCACCAGAAUUUGUUCUAGGUCUCACUUCCCCUGGGAUGUUCCCAUCUAAUGAUAUGCAUCGCAGAGGUAUGAGAACCUUGCCCCUCCUGCCCAAUGGGAUAAUCUUCUAGAGGGUAAAUAUGGCUCCAGGAUCCCCCAUUGUCUUGGUCAAGAAUUUCUCCUAACUGUGCUGAGGUGUGAGGCAUUUUCUACCCAAUCCUUCCUUCUGUCUCUCCUUUCUCAUAUGUUCCACAUGCACUGAGUUCUGAAAGCUCUGUGUUCCUCUUGUUCCCCUUUAUCCUUUGAAGAUGUGUUGCCCCCACAAAUCUCUUGCAAGUCUCAUCCUGUCCUGGUAUCUUCUCCUUGGAAACAUUUGCACUGAUGUAGCAUGUUAUAUGAUGGUUUUGGACAAAAUAUUAUUUCUAGUUAUGGUGCUUAUACAUACUUUACUACCACCAUAGCAUUUGAAUAAAAAUCCUUUCUUCAUAUUUUUAAAGUACCUGUCCACUUCCACUUGGAAACUAAACAGCAUCAGUGGCAAGCUGGCAGUUUUAGAAAGUGGACUUCUAGAUCUAAAAUGUUUUCAUAGAUAAGCCAUCAAUGUUCUUGUUAUCUACUAUUAGCUUUUAAAACAUUUCUGAUUUCCACCAAAAAAUUUGCAUAUGGAAAUCUACAAUUAGAUUUGCUACCUGCCACCAAUUGCAGCCCUCACUUCACUAACUGAAAGAGCCCAGAAGAUCUCAUCUCCUUAGUCUAAAUUGAUCUAUUUCUUAAAUGAUUAAUUCAGGGACUCUUCUCUCAGAUGAAAGGCACUAUGUUAUAGUUCUAUUGUAUCAAUGCUCUAAAAUCCAAUUUAUGGGUCUACCUCUGAACCUCCAGUAUAUAAAAUUUUCUGCUAUCUCCAUUUCUGAUAGCUUAUUCCUAUAUUCUCUUACUCUCUUCCCUUACAUAGAUUGUUUGACUUAAUUCAACCAAAUAUGUGGUAAUAUCAAAUUAAUCUAACUCUCUGGGUUCUCAGGGAAGCAGACACUGAGAUGGCAAUGGCCACACAUGACAUUUAUUUGGAAUGGUAGCAGUGGGAGGCAGAGGAAGUAAAAGAAAUAGAUAAUCUGAACAGAUCAAUACUAGCAAUGAAAUUGAAUCAGUAAUCAAAUACUCACAACAAAUAAAAGACCAGGACCAUACAGUUUCACAG